GUGUUUGUAGCCUAGUUGGUUCAAGGCAGCACUCUAUUGUGUCUCAGUUCUACUGAGGUUUAGAGUUCCAAUCUCACCAGACACA
Puccinia sorghi is the source of this 85-nucleotide non-coding RNA. The record is from the annotation of a GenBank genome assembly. NCBI's taxonomy places the organism in Eukaryota, Fungi, Basidiomycota, Pucciniomycetes, Pucciniales, Pucciniaceae.